GCUAUUCUGUCAUUUAUAGUUUGACUCUGACAUGUAUGAUAAUCUUACCACAGUGGGAUACUGGCAUAUUUUGUGUCCCAAAGAAGAGACUGGUGCUUGGGAUAUCAAGAGUCAUCUACCAUUUUUGCAGAUGUAUUUCCCAUUUUUGCACCCCUGGUCAUGGCCUGCCUUUCUGCACACAGGAAGAAUUCAACGUGAGAGGGUGAGCACAGUAGGAACAAUUUAUCGUGAAUGCUGCUAGUUGUGAACGUGGGCGUUCUCUGUUCUGGCCACCUGGCUUAGUCACCCUGCGAAGUUAUUGAACUCAGCAGGGGCUGUGUUGGCGCUGAGAUAGUGAAAAAGAAGCAACUAUUAGCCUUUUUUUGUACCGUGUUUUGAAGAGUCAGUUUCAAUAUCUGGGUGGAAAUGUGUCUGCUGUACAGCUUUGUUACUAAGAUAGCUCAGGAAGAUUUGACAGAGUGGUGUUAAAAAGUUAAAUCACAAAUGACUGUUCAGAGGGACAGUUCUGCUGAUAUUAGUUGGCAGGAGCUGCUAGAGAUGGGCAGGCUGGUUUAUGACCAGAUGUAAAGCAGCUCUCAGGGUCCUCCGCGGGAGUUUUGCUGCCUCUUGGUGCUGGCGUGAGCGAUUCCCUCCCAUCGGCCGCUCCCAACCUUCGGUCUGUCCCUCCUCUCCAUCCCAUUCAGCACGUGCUGCUGGAAGGACAGAUGUUAGGGUCCUUGCUCUGGGCUGCGAUUGACUGUGUUCAGUGUAUGAUUAUCCCUUCUUUUUUG
Long non-coding RNA from Cygnus olor (mute swan), 770 nucleotides. RefSeq lists it as uncharacterized. The transcript has 3 exons. The record is from RefSeq and is a predicted model, not a curated record. NCBI's taxonomy places the organism in Eukaryota, Metazoa, Chordata, Aves, Anseriformes, Anatidae.